AGCAGCCGCGGUAAUUCCAGCUCCAAUAGCGUAUAUUAAAGUUGUUGCAGUUAAAAAGCUCGUAGUUGAGUUUCGAGAUCAAUUUGUCGGUCGUGCCUCGGUACGUACUGGCAUUAUUGAUUUCUCCCUUCUGAAGAACCGCGAUGUCAUUAAUUUGGUGUCGUGGGGAAUCAGGACUGUUACUUUGAAAAAAUUAGAGUGUUUAAAGCAGGCGCACGCUUGAAUACAUUAGCAUGGAAUAAUGAAAUAGGACGUUUGAUUCUAUUUUGUUGGUUUUCUAGGAUCGACGUAAUGAUUAAUAGGGAUAGUUGGGGGCAUUAGUAUUCAAUUGUCAGAGGUGAAAUUCUUGGAUUUAUUGAAGACUAACUACUGCGAAAGCAUUUGCCGAGGAUGUUUUC
This 398-nucleotide ribosomal RNA is filed under the name uncultured Glomeromycotina. RNAcentral describes it as "SSU rRNA". It matches the Rfam family "Eukaryotic small subunit ribosomal RNA", at positions 569 to 971 of the family's 1831-position model. The record is from RNAcentral. Lineage: Eukaryota; Fungi; Glomeromycota.